CGGAAACAGGGGAGAUGAAACUGGUUCGGAUUUGGAAGUUGGGGAAGAUGGAACGGCUGGGUGAUACUUCGGAAGGAGGAUGCUUGGAUGACGGAUUUAGAGGGAGUUUGGUUUGGAAGAAGAAGUUGGUUGCUGGGUGGAACUGAUCCGGCUGAGAUGCAUUCGUUAGCUUGAAGCUGUGGACCGGCUCGGGAAGAAUCCAUCGCGGGUGAUGAGAGAUUGGAUACGGCUGGGAAGGAAAGUUUAUCCGUGGAUGAAGAUAAGAUGAGCCGGAAGUUUGUUCAGUGGA
Molecule: long non-coding RNA, 289 nt
Filed under: Phoenix dactylifera (date palm)
Lineage: Eukaryota; Viridiplantae; Streptophyta; Magnoliopsida; Arecales; Arecaceae
Description: long non-coding RNA (PDAC_LNC015367)
Source: RNAcentral